This 503-nucleotide ribosomal RNA is filed under the name uncultured bacterium. RNAcentral's name for it is "bacterial SSU rRNA". It matches the Rfam family "Bacterial small subunit ribosomal RNA", at positions 28 to 516 of the family's 1533-position model. The record is from RNAcentral.
GAUGAACGCUAGCGGCAGGCUUAACACAUGCAAGUCGAGGGGCAGCAUGAGACGGAGAUUCGUCGAAGUCUUGAUGGCGACCGGCGCAAGGGUGCGUAACGCGUGAGCAACUUGCCCGUUUCAGGGGGAUAACCGGUGGAAACGCCGACUAAUACCCCAUGGUAUGUUUUUAAGGCAUCUUUUAAACAUUAAAGAACUUCGGAAACGGAUAGGCUCGCGUGACAUUAGCUAGAUGGCGGGGUAACGGCCCACCAUGGCGACGAUGUCUAGGGGUUCUGAGAGGAAGGUCCCCCACACUGGAACUGAGACACGGUCCAGACUCCUACGGGAGGCAGCAGUGAGGAAUAUUGGUCAAUGGUCUGACGACUGAACCAGCCAUGCCGCGUGAAGGAUACGGCCCUAUGGGUCUUAAACUUCUUUUUGCGUAGGGAGCAAUAAGGUCUACGUGUAGUCCGAUGAGAGUACCCCGNGAAUAAGCAUCGGCUAACUCCGUGCCAGCAGCC